GAGAGAAAGGGGUUGGCGAGGGUGUUGCGGCUUCUGUACAUAUUGAUGAAAACCUUACAAGAAUUGGUAGGAAGUCGUAAUCAAAUUCAUUUAAGAGAAAGGCUUCAAUUGUUCAUUACAUCACUAUCAUAGGCUCCAUAUGAUCAACACUAAUAUAUAUAUGUAUGUGUGUUCCUCUCAACCGUUUUAAUUGCAUGAGAGCCAAAUGCACGACAACAACUUAUCGCCCCUCGUACACGUAUGAUUUUGUUGCUCCACUUUGUUUUUCU
Molecule: long non-coding RNA, 269 nt
Filed under: Ricinus communis (castor bean)
Lineage: Eukaryota; Viridiplantae; Streptophyta; Magnoliopsida; Malpighiales; Euphorbiaceae
Description: long non-coding RNA (RCOM_LNC002996)
Source: RNAcentral